AGAGAGAGACAUGCGCGCAUAUCAAUAAGCGGAGGAAAAGAAACUAACUAGGAUUCCCUCAGUAACGGCGAGUGAAGCGGGAAGAGCUCAAAUUUGAAAUCUUCAAGGUUCUACCUUGACGAAUUGUAGUUUAAAGAAGUGUUUUCUGUUGGAGUUUUGGUAAAAGUUCUUUGGAAUAGGACAUCAUAGAGGGUGAGAAUCCCGUAUUUGACCAUUAUUUCCAGCUUUGUGAUACACUUUCAAAGAGUCGGAUUGUUUGGGAAUGCAGUCCAAAAUGGGUGGUAAAUUUCAUCUAAAGCUAAAUAUUGGCGAGAGACCGAUAGCGAACAAGUACCGUGAGGGAAAGAUGAAAAGAACUUUGAAAAGAGAGUUAAACAGUACGUGAAAUUGUCAAGAGGGAAGCGUUUGACACCAGUGUUGUUUUCUCGAAAAUCAAUUAAAAAAGGCAGGAUUUUGUGUUGUAUUGACUUUAUCAGCUUUCUGCACUCUUUUCUUGUCUUUUUUAAUGCACUUUUCGUUUAACAAGUCAACAUCAAUUUCUUUUGUUGUAAAAGGGUCAUUGGAAGGUGGCUUUCUUUUCGGAGAAAGUGUUUAUAGCCUUUGGCCUCUGCAAUCGGAGAGAUUGAGGUCUGCAGCGUAGAUCCUUCGGGGUUAGAUACAUUUGUGCUAAGUUAUAGCCUUUUCAUAGACAACUUGUUGACUAUGAUCAGUCAUGUAGCUUACUCGCUUAUGCUAUUUUACCUACGCUUAGGAUGUUGAUGUGAUACUGCGAGC
This 774-nucleotide ribosomal RNA is filed under the name uncultured Neocallimastigales. RNAcentral describes it as "partial large subunit ribosomal RNA". It matches the Rfam family "Eukaryotic large subunit ribosomal RNA", at positions 23 to 645 of the family's 3401-position model. The record is from RNAcentral. Lineage: Eukaryota; Fungi; Neocallimastigomycota; Neocallimastigomycetes; Neocallimastigales.